CCGGAGACGGACCCCUUUAGAUUUCGGGGCGGCUGAGGAGCGCGGCGGCUGCUCUGUGGCUGAGUGAGGGGGGUGGGCGGAAUGGCGGGGGAAGGGAAGGUGACUGUGCCUCGAGGGCCGAGCCGCCCGGCCUUGCCAGCCAGCCGCCGCCUCAGCGUUCGGCCGGGGGCGGGGCCGCAGGUCAGCUUGGAAGAAGUGAUCACCAAGAGACACCCAAGAUCUUGUUUAGGCAAUAAAUGAAUGAAGACCAUGGAUUAAGAACCGUUGCUAGAUAUGUAGAAUAUUAAAAGGUGGAAAAGGAAGGUGCUCAUAACUCCUGGUUUUCUGGACCAAACAUAAUUUCUGGGCUUUAUAGACCUAGUGAAAGAGAACGGCGCACGGUUUAUUCUAAUCGUCCACCUGAGUCAUUCGGUUCGGUUUGGGUUGCCAAGGAGGCUCUAACUGGAGCCCUUUCUCCUGGUUUUUCGGCGUGGUUGCCUUGGG
RNAcentral lists this long non-coding RNA (483 nucleotides) under Homo sapiens (human). RNAcentral's name for it is "HSALNT0221910". Lineage: Eukaryota; Metazoa; Chordata; Mammalia; Primates; Hominidae. The record is from RNAcentral.